Molecule: non-coding RNA, 904 nt
Organism: Procambarus clarkii (red swamp crayfish)
Lineage: Eukaryota; Metazoa; Arthropoda; Malacostraca; Decapoda; Cambaridae
Source: RefSeq, a predicted model, not a curated record
GGCCCACUGCCUUUUGACGAAAGGCGGUGGAGUUUCUGACGGGGAAAGGAAGAGACAAUUGCGCAUCGCGUCCCGCAGGCGUGGUGCGGCCAGCCUGGGCGGCAUAAAAGGCGCGGGAAGUCAGGUCCCGCUCUCACUCCCUCUCCCGACCAGGUCCAAGAUUCACGAAGCGGCUCCACGCUCAGCACCACGCCUCAUCGACACGUGGGCCAGUACCCUUACCACUUCUACGUUUUGUUUACUGUGUACACGGGAUUUCUCAAGCAAUCGGACUCCCUCUCCGCUACUAUGGUCCCACAACUGAUAUUCUCCAAUCCUUUGGGGCCUUCCACAUCCCAGGCCGGUACCGCAGGGGCCCCCUGCCCUACCCAGCAAACCCUAAGGUAAGAGAGUUUCCUGUACAAGUUAGUCAGGACUACCCCCAGUGCUGGCGUGUGUUUGCGCCGUCCCUCGCGGCCCGUUCGUUCCGCUUAGCUAGUUCCCUAGGGCCUUCCGCCUGCUUGCCUCCCUGGGGUUGCUGGCGUUCCUCCAGGUCGGGACUGGUGCGCUGGUUAUCUGCGGCGACUUCAUGUGGCCUGGUUUCGGUGGUCCUGUGCCCUGGGGCCCGGCCCUAUUGCGUGCUCGGUGGACCAUUCGUCCCAGGUGUGCCCUCCCCGGUUUGCUGUGCCCCUAGGCUUGCCCUAGGGGCCAUGUUUCGCCCGCGCCUGGCCGUGCGUGCGCGGCCAGGCUCCUUCUGUGGUCUGGCAUCGCCCUCUGUGGCGACGCCACGCGGCGGUUCCCGGGGUUCUGAGCCCUGGGGCCCAAGCCCGGUAGGCGGCGCCCACGUGGCUUUGAGCUCGGUGAAGCACUCGCCCCAAGGAUGCCCUUCGUUUCCUUCCCCGUCCCAGGCGUUUUCCCCGGAACC